AAAAUCAGAGAUGGCUGAGUCUGAAAGGUUUUGAAAGAACAAUUGAAUUUCCUGUAUUUUCCUUAGUCAGAAAUUGAUUCAAUUUUGCCACAAAUUGCAUAGUUAACCUGAGCAUUUGAGUCUCCAUAGAAUGGUCUUCAGUGGUUUUUUUUCCUACUGGUGUGAAGAAGCUGUGUUUUGCUUGGAUUUGCUAGCUUUUUAUUGUUACAUUGUUGUUGAUAUUGUUCUGUUGUUGCUGAUCCCUCAUUCUUCUUGCUUUUUUUGCUUUUCCAGGUAUCUCUUGGAACCAUAAACAACAUGUGAUAUGUGAAUCUGCACUUUGAAUGUGAAACACUUUGGAUACAAGUUGAAUCUCAAGUUUAUUUCUUCUAUUUCUGUAUAAUUAUGUAUAUAAACCCUAUAUUAUGCAUGUUAGUCUAGCCCUUUCUCAUGUUGCUAAAGUCUUGUAAAGUGAAUCCAUGUUUGCUCGUUGGUCUGAUUCUGUGAGGGUUUGAGUAUGAGGUUUGGAUUCACAUGAAUUGAAGUUCUGAUCAUAUAGGUUACAAAGUUAUUGAAAUAGGUUUUUGGACAUAUGUGUGUCGUGAGAUCACUGUAAUAGAAGUUCA
This 605-nucleotide long non-coding RNA is filed under the name Nicotiana tabacum (common tobacco). RNAcentral describes it as "long non-coding RNA (NTAB_LNC010660)". Lineage: Eukaryota; Viridiplantae; Streptophyta; Magnoliopsida; Solanales; Solanaceae. The record is from RNAcentral.